GCGCCUUUAACAGAAAGCUGUUGGUCAUCUGUUGAUUUUCCUAUUACAGCUCCACGAUCAGAUCCGAUAACCUGAACGACAGUCCGGACCCUCUUCCGCACAUGCAUGGGUAACAGUCCUCCAUUAACAAAAAUUGCAGGUUUUGAUGUAUCCAUACCCCGAUUGUCCAGAAAAGCUUGCCUCGAGAAAGAUAAGAGCACACUGAGAAUCAAUGGGCGAUG
This 221-nucleotide unclassified non-coding RNA is filed under the name Hevea brasiliensis (rubber tree). Lineage: Eukaryota; Viridiplantae; Streptophyta; Magnoliopsida; Malpighiales; Euphorbiaceae. The record is from RNAcentral.